UGAAGCUGGAAUCGCUAGUAAUCGCGAAUCAGAAUGUCGCGGUGAAUACGUUCCCGGGUCUUGUACACACCGCCCGUCACACCAUGGGAGUCGGAAAUGCCCGAAGUCAGUGACCCAACCGUAAGGAGGGAGCAGCCGAAGGCAGGUCGGAUGACUGGGGUGAAGUCGUAACAAGGUAGC
This 180-nucleotide ribosomal RNA is filed under the name uncultured bacterium. RNAcentral's name for it is "partial 16S ribosomal RNA". It matches the Rfam family "Bacterial small subunit ribosomal RNA", at positions 1321 to 1500 of the family's 1533-position model. The record is from RNAcentral.